AGGAGCUUGCUUUUCUUGACUUAGUGGCGAACGGGUGAGUAACGCGUGAGUAACCUGCCCUGGAGUGGGGGACAACAGCUGGAAACGGCUGCUAAUACCGCAUAAGCGCACAGCAUCGCAUGAUGCAGUGUGAAAAACUCCGGUGGUGUGAGAUGGACCCGCGUCUGAUUAGCCAGUUGGCGGGGUAACGGCCCACCAAAGCGACGAUCAGUAGCCGGCCUGAGAGGGUGAACGGCCACAUUGGGACUGAGACACGGCCCAAACUCC
This 267-nucleotide ribosomal RNA is filed under the name uncultured Eubacteriales bacterium. RNAcentral's name for it is "uncultured Clostridiales bacterium partial 16S ribosomal RNA". It matches the Rfam family "Bacterial small subunit ribosomal RNA", at positions 74 to 339 of the family's 1533-position model. The record is from RNAcentral. Lineage: Bacteria; Bacillati; Bacillota; Clostridia; Eubacteriales.